GCCGGAGUGGCGGAACUGGCAGACGCGCUGGACUCAAAAUCCAGUCCCUCCUCGGAGGGGUGUGGGUUCGAUUCCCUCCUCCGGCACUA
RNAcentral lists this transfer RNA (89 nucleotides) under Candidatus Aminicenantota bacterium. Its description in RNAcentral is "Candidatus Aminicenantes bacterium (hot springs metagenome) tRNA-Leu". It matches the Rfam family "tRNA". Rfam says of the family: Transfer RNA (tRNA) molecules are approximately 80 nucleotides in length. Their secondary structure includes four short double-helical elements and three loops (D, anti-codon, and T loops). The record is from RNAcentral. Lineage: Bacteria; Candidatus Aminicenantota.